GCUGGAGGGUUCCCGUGGUGCGUGGUCCAGUGCACACACGUGUGGCCGCCGCCGGCAUUGGCACGCGGUUUCGUGUGAAGGGGUUCCCGGGGGUUCUCCGGGCCGGUGCCCCGCCUCAGCUGGUGCCUAGCAGCCGGCUUAGAACUGGUGCAGACCAGGGGAAUCCGACUGUUCAAUUAAAACAAAGCAUCGCGAAGGCCCACGGCGGGUGUUGACGCGAUGUGAUUUCUGCCCAGUGCUCUGAAUGUCAAAGUGAAGAAAUUCAAUGAAGCACGGGUAAACGGCGGGAGUAACUAUGACUCUCUUAAAUCUCAUGGAUUUUAUAUCAAACCGACUAAGGACUCAUAUACAAUCAAUGAUUGUCCAACUU
Molecule: non-coding RNA, 370 nt
Filed under: Chlamydotis macqueenii (Macqueen's bustard)
Lineage: Eukaryota; Metazoa; Chordata; Aves; Otidiformes; Otididae
Description: Chlamydotis undulata macqueenii Eukaryotic large subunit ribosomal RNA
Rfam family: Eukaryotic large subunit ribosomal RNA
Source: Rfam by way of RNAcentral